ACGAACGCUGGCGGCGUGCUUAACACAUGCAAGUCGAACGGUGAAGCGCCUUCCUUUUUGGUGGGUGUGGAUGAGUGGCGAACGGGUGAGUAACACGUGAGUAACCUGCCCCCUUCUUCUGGAUAACCGCAUGAAAGUGUGGCUAAUACGGGAUAUUCUGGGUCUGUCGCAUGAUGGGUCUGGGAAAGAUAUUGUUUCGGUGGGGGAUGGGCUCGCGGCCUAUCAGCUUGUUGGUGGGGUGAUGGCCUGCCAAGGCGGUGACGGGUAGCCGGCCUGAGAGGGUGGACGGUCACACUGGGACUGAGACACGGCCCAGACUCCUACGGGAGGCAGCAGUGGGGAAUAUUGCACAAUGGGCGCAAGCCUGAUGCAGCGACGCCGCGUGAGGGAUGGAGGCCUUCGGGUUGUGAACCUCUUUCGCCAGUGAAGCAGGCCUGCCUCGUUUGUGGGUGGGUUGACGGUAGCUGGAUAAGAAGCGCCGGCUAACUACGUG
This 493-nucleotide ribosomal RNA is filed under the name uncultured bacterium. RNAcentral's name for it is "partial 16S ribosomal RNA". It matches the Rfam family "Bacterial small subunit ribosomal RNA", at positions 29 to 507 of the family's 1533-position model. The record is from RNAcentral.